Molecule: ribosomal RNA, 560 nt
Filed under: uncultured bacterium
Lineage: Bacteria
Description: bacterial SSU rRNA
Rfam family: Bacterial small subunit ribosomal RNA
Source: RNAcentral
CCUACGGGAGGCAGCAGUGGGGAAUAUUGGACAAUGGGCGCAAGCCUGAUCCAGCCAUGCCGCGUGAGUGAUGAAGGCCUUAGGGUUGUAAAGCUCUUUUACCUGGGAAGAUAAUGACGGUACCAGGAGAAUAAGCCCCGGCUAACUUCGUGCCAGCAGCCGCGGUAAUACGAAGGGGGCUAGCGUUGUUCGGAUUUACUGGGCGUAAAGCGCACGUAGGUGGAUCUUUAAGUCAGAGGUGAAAGCCUGGAGCUCAACUCCAGAACUGCCUUUGAUACUGGGGAUCUCGAGUCCGGGAGAGGUGAGUGGAACUGCGAGUGUAGAGGUGAAAUUCGUAGAUAUUCGCAAGAACACCAGUGGCGAAGGCGGCUCACUGGCCCGGUACUGACGCUGAGGUGCGGAAGCGUGGGGAGCAAACAGGAUUAGAUACCCUGGUAGUCCACGCCGUAAACGAUGGAUGCCAGCCGUUGGACAGCUUGCUGUUCAGUGGCGCAGUUAACGCUUUAAGCAUCCCGCCUGGGGAGUACGGUCGCAAGAUUAAAACUUAAAUGAAUUGACGG